CAGUAGCCGCGGGAAUACGUAGGCAGCGAGCGUUGUUCGGAAUUACUGGGCGUAAAGAGUGUGUAGGCGGUGCUCUAAGUUCGGUGUGAAAUCUCCCGGCUUAACUGGGAGGGUGCGCCGGAAACUGGAAUGCUCGAGCGUGGGAGAGGAAAGCGGAAUUCCUGGUGUAGCGGUGAAAUGCGUAGAUAUCAGGAGGAACACCUGUGGUGUAGACGGCUUUCUGGACCAUAGCUGACGCUGAGACACGAAAGCGUGGGUAGCAAACAGGAUUAGAUACCCCUGUAGUCCCUGUCUCUUAUAC
Molecule: ribosomal RNA, 301 nt
Filed under: uncultured bacterium
Lineage: Bacteria
Description: partial 16S ribosomal RNA
Rfam family: Bacterial small subunit ribosomal RNA
Source: RNAcentral